RNAcentral lists this ribosomal RNA (495 nucleotides) under uncultured bacterium. RNAcentral's name for it is "partial 16S ribosomal RNA". It matches the Rfam family "Bacterial small subunit ribosomal RNA", at positions 28 to 507 of the family's 1533-position model. The record is from RNAcentral.
GAUGAACGCUGGCGGCGUGCCUAAUACAUGCAAGUAGAACGCUGAAGGAGGAGCUUGCUCUUCUGGAUGAGUUGCGAACGGGUGAGUAACGCGUAGGUAACCUGCCUGGUAGCGGGGUAUAACUAUUGGAAACGAUAGCUAAUACCGCAUGACAACAGUUAUUGCAUGAUAACUGUUUAAAAGGGGCAACUGCUCCACUACCAGAUGGACCUGCGUUGUAUUAGCUAGUUGGUGAGGUAACGGCUCACCAAGGCGACGAUACAUAGCCGACCUGAGAGGGUGAUCGGCCACACUGGGACUGAGACACGGCCCAGACUCCUACGGGAGGCAGCAGUAGGGAAUCUUCGGCAAUGGACGGAAGUCUGACCGAGCAACGCCGCGUGAGUGAAGAAGGUUUUCGGAUCGUAAAGCUCUGUUGUAAGAGAAGAACGAGUGUGAGAGUGGAAAGUUCACACUGUGACGGUAUCUUACCAGAAAGGGACGGCUAACUACGUG